CCUACGGGUGGCUGCAGUGGGGAAUAUUGCACAAUGGGCGCAAGCCUGAUGCAGCCAUGCCGCGUGUGUGAAGAAGGCCUUCGGGUUGUAAAGCACUUUCAGCGGGGAGGAAGGCGGUGAGGUUAAUAACCUCAUCGAUUGACGUUACCCGCAGAAGAAGCACCGGCUAACUCCGUGCCAGCAGCCGCGGUAAUACGGAGGGUGCAAGCGUUAAUCGGAAUUACUGGGCGUAAAGCGCACGCAGGCGGUCUGUCAAGUCGGAUGUGAAAUCCCCGGGCUCAACCUGGGAACUGCAUUCGAAACUGGCAGGCUAGAGUCUUGUAGAGGGGGGUAGAAUUCCAGGUGUAGCGGUGAAAUGCGUAGAGAUGUGGAGGAACACCAGUGGCGAAGGCGACUCUCUGGUCUGUAACUGACGCUGAGGAGCGAAAGCGUGGGGAGCGAACAGGAUUAGAUACCCCGGUAGUC
This 465-nucleotide ribosomal RNA is filed under the name uncultured Klebsiella sp. Its description in RNAcentral is "bacterial SSU rRNA". It matches the Rfam family "Bacterial small subunit ribosomal RNA", at positions 338 to 795 of the family's 1533-position model. The record is from RNAcentral. Lineage: Bacteria; Pseudomonadati; Pseudomonadota; Gammaproteobacteria; Enterobacterales; Enterobacteriaceae.